UACUUCCAGCAAUGGGCAGAGAAACCCCUUGUUGGUGGUGGUGUUCUGUGUCAGUCAGGGGCAGAGCAGAUGGCAGUCCUUUGUGCAUCCUAGCUUGACACCUGGCUUGGUAGCCAAAGCUGUUUUAUGCCUAGGACUCAUAA
Non-coding RNA from Mus musculus (house mouse), 143 nucleotides. The record is from Rfam. NCBI's taxonomy places the organism in Eukaryota, Metazoa, Chordata, Mammalia, Rodentia, Muridae.